RNAcentral lists this long non-coding RNA (6938 nucleotides) under Gossypium raimondii (Peruvian cotton). Its description in RNAcentral is "long non-coding RNA (GRAI_LNC011037)". Lineage: Eukaryota; Viridiplantae; Streptophyta; Magnoliopsida; Malvales; Malvaceae. The record is from RNAcentral.
GAUGUUAAGCUUCCCGUUGAAUUCUGAGGAAACAGUGUUUAACAGAUUCUCCCUUUGAGUUUGAUCUGAAACAUCACACACCGAACCUGUAACCCGAAAACCCUUUGCUUUCCAUUCGAGUAAGCAAUUGUUGAGCUCGGUUUCAGUUCGAGAGCAUGUAUGCACAAUCGCUCCGAAUCCAGCUAAUUCCUCCACAAUUGCAUGCCUGAUCACCAAUUGCAAUACUUGGUUUUUCACAUUGGCAUAAAGUCAAACAUGUUUAAGACGAUAUGAAAAACAAUCAUCUUUUACGUACAUUUCCACUAAAUUCAUGUCAAAUCAUGAAAAGGAGAUAAACAUCUUCGUGUUGUGUCGUGUUUUAGUUGUUGUUCUGAAAUUUUUAUGAAAUAAGGAGAGGAAAUUACCCGAGCCCUUUGGUUCCACCANNNNNNNNNNNNNNNNNNNNNNNNNNNNNNNNNNNNNNNNNNNNNNNNNNNNNNNNNNNNNNNNNNNNNNNNNNNNNNNNNNNNNNNNNNNNNNNNNNNNCAAGUGCAGUCAUGCCUUGGAGACUCCAUCUUGAAGACUCCUAUUGUACCUAAACCUACGCUUCUACCUACUUUACUUACAUUCAUAUAUAUAUAUAUAUAUAUAUAUAUAUAUAUAAAAGUUCACUAAACUAUUACUAAAUUUUCUGCCAAAAAAAAUAUUAUUUAGUUUAUGUUUUGGUCAAUCAACUUUAGAAAGUUAUAAAAUAGUCACUGCAUUAUUCGAAAAUUUUCAUUUAAGUCUGGCUAAUGAGCUCCAAGCGACGAUUCGACGAUUAGUACAGUAAAUCAGUACUCUUUGACAAGUAGAUGAACAUACUUUAAAUCCAAGUCGAUCGAACAAUUACUGUCAAAAAUCAGAUAAGAAAAUUUACUAAUAAUUUAGUGACCUAAGGUGUAGUUUAACCAUAUAUAUAUAUCCAUGGUUGAAACUAGAAAUUUCUUUUAGUGGCCAGUGAUUAAGUCAUAUUUUGUAUGAGAACAAUAAAUGAUCUUAGAAGAAGCUAAAUUAUAAUUUUAUGAAUUUUGAGAGGUUUAAAACAGAAAUUUCUCAUUUUAAGGGUGCGGUCCCUUCACCCCUAAAUCUACUCUACUAUUAUAAAAUUCUUAAUUUAAAUUAAUAUCGCCAACUUUAUUUUUAAAAACAUUUUUUAUCUUUAUUUUAUGAUACACGUUUGUGUUGGAUAUUAUCAUCUUUUUUUUCAGCCAUCGAAAUUGAAGUCAACAAAUAAUAUAUGUUUUAUUUUUUUUUACUCCAAUAAAUAAUAUAUAUGUCUUUUUCAGGGGCUUAUUUUUUUAGUAAAUUAGACGGGUUACUCAAUUAUUUAUAUCUUUUUGUCUUUUCAAUUUUAAGAUGGUAUAAUAUCAUAAAUAGUCCUUACAAGCUCAUUAAAAUUUCAAUAUAGUCCAUCCACUUUGCAAGUUCAAAAGUGAACCAUAACAUUCAUCUUAAAAAUUGUACUUCGUUAACAAGUAAAUCUUAAACUUUUCAUAUUUUAUAAAUAAUCGGAUUUCAAUACUUCAAUUUUUAAUUAAGAAAAUAAGAGUUUUAAAACCUAAUUCUAAAUUGAAGGGAACAUGUUGAAAUUUUGAUAAAAAUUAAGGACUAUAUUGAAAAUUUUAAGAUGAAACUAGUAAAUUUUUAAAUAUAGUUUUGAAGUGGAUGGACUAAAUUGAAAAUGAAUUUUUAUUGAUCAUGUAUAGUAUUAUUCCAGGAUGAAGCAAGAAACUUUUUUUAGGGUGCCGGAGAUUUGGUCGUAUUUUUAUGAGAACAAAAUGCAGUUAUAUUUUUAUGGUUUUUAAAAGGAUUAAAUCAAAAUUUUAACAUUUUCAAAAAGAUCACACUAUAAUUUUAUGAAUUUUUAAGAAGUUUAAAACAGAAAUUUUUGAUUUUAGGGUCAACGAUGCACAUGGUAGGGUGUUUCAUAAUAUACGUUAGUGAAUAUUACAUGUUGGAAAGUAUUGUCCCUUUCAGCCAACCAUCAAGUCCUAGUGCAAGGACCCCAGGGUUUGGUACAUAUUAUUUCGAUAUUAAAACAUUAUUAAUGAUAGAAGUUGAGUGCAGUAAUAAGAUAUAUUAUACUCUCAAUUAAAGAUAUAAGUUCGAAUUAUGAAAAAAACUCUGUUGGGAGGAAUAAUCACAAACCCUGAACAUUGAAUCGUAAAACGGACAUUGAAAGUAAAUAAAUAAAAAGAAUCGAUAUUGAAUAAUUUAAGUUUUAUUUCGAUUAAAAUUUCAAUCAUUGUGAUGGAUUCAGUUGUAUGGUGCGUACAAGCAUGUAUCAUUUGAUGCAUGAUUUUAAUAUAUUAAAUUAAUUUUCUAAUUUUAAUUUAUCGAAUAAAAUUAUUUCUUAAUUUUUAUUUUAUUUUUAAUAAUUACAGUAAAAAAGUAAUAUAUAUAUAUAUAUAAUCAUUAUAUUAAGUUAUUAAAGCUAAUAAAUGAUAAGAAAAUGAAAAAAAAUACACUACCAAUUUCUUUAUUUUGUAUUUUUCAUUUCAAAAAGCAAUUUUAUUAAGGAUAAACUACAAUAGUAGUGACCUAACUAUUAGUAAACUUCUUGGUUAGUCACCCAACUAUUUAAUUUUGUAUUUUUCUGUCACGAACUGGCUAAUGGUGGCAACUUUGACGAUCAACAUUUAUAAAUCAUGACAAUUUAGUAUUGUUUCUAAGAAACUUAUCCCUCAACGUUUACGCAUCGCGUAAGUUGGUCUUUUUGUUUUAGUUUUGUUUUUCUUUGUGACAUUAAGGGUUAAUUUUAAAAGAAUGAGAAAAAAUGAAGAUUAUUAUCUUGGAUUUUUUGGUAUUUCCAUUUCAAUCAAACUUAGCUAAUUUUUUUUUUAAUAUUUUAGGUGAAAGGGUCGCAAAGAAAAACAAAAUUGCAAAAAAAAAAAAGAUAAUGUUGAGUCAUUCAAGUUUCAUUUCGAUUAAAAUUUUAGUCAUUGUGGUGUAUUUCGGCCGAUGUUGAUUUGUAUGGUGCAUACAAGCUUGAAUAAGUUGAUACAUAAUUUUGAUGCUUUAAGUGAACUUUUUAAAUUUAAUUUUUAAUUUAUGCAAUAGAAACUAUUUCUUAAUUUUUUUUUCUCAAUCAAAGAUAUUAUUAAAGAAAGGUUAACCUAUACAAAUAGUCACCCAACUAUAUGUGCAUUCCUGUUUUGGUUACCUAACUUUAAAAUUUUCAAUUUAGGCACUAACGUUUGGAUUCGUUCUUUUUUUGGUCACCAGCCAUUAAAUUGAUAACCGGAAGUCUUUUUGUAAUUUUUAUAAUAACGCAGUUAGUCCUCAAUACUUAUUCUAUCAAUUUGGUCCUAAUUCUAAAUAAUUCAACAAAUAUAACCCUUCAUGUUUACAAAUUCUAUCAAUUUGAUUCUCAAACUUUCUAACCAAAGCUUUUAGCUUUUAAAACAGAGGCACUCCACAUCUAUUAAUUGUUUUAUUUAUGGUUGAAAUUAUUCAAUUCGGUACAUAACCCUUUUUUAUAUUUUUAAGAAGUUACUGCUAGAAAUUAACUAAGCACUGUUAAAAAUAAUAGAAAAUAUAAAUUUUAAAAAUAUAAUAUACAAUAAAUUUAUAUAAAUAAUUUAAUAUUUUUAAAAAAUAAUAUUCCACUCUAACUAGCAUUAAUUUGGUAAAUGAUUUAACACUGAUAACAUGAAUCAAGUUACAUCAAAUUAAAGUAAAGAGGUUAAAUUUUAAAUUUUAACAUAGUAUAGAUACUAAAAGCAUAAUUAGACCAUUAAAAACAUAUUUAAAUUAUGAUAAGUCUUUUAACAUUCACAGUUGACAAACAUGUCUUCUUAUUCAUAUCUCAUAGCUUAAACAUGUCCAAUUCAUCUCAAUUUUCAACCUACAUACUUGAGUUCAUGGCUCCUUGUUUCUUUCAUGAUUUACUUAGGAAAGAAGAGGCCAUUCACGCUCAUCCCACCAUCAACACAAAUAACCUGCCCCGUUACAUAUGAAGCCGCCGGUAGGCACAGGAAAGCCACCAUAGCUGACACUUCCUUCGGCUGUCCAAGCCGUCCUAAUGGUGUUCGGUUUAGGGUUACCUCUAAUCCUUCUUUAUUAACUUCGAAAUACUAGAAAAAGAAUACAAUAAAUUUGAGUUCAAUUAUAAGUUUCUUGAAACAAAAGUAUAAAAGAUAAGGUUAAACUAUACCCAAGAUUACUCAAUUAUUAGUAAGUUUUCGUUUUGACCACUCAACUUCAAAAAGUUACAAAAUGGUCCCUAAACUAUUCAGAAAUUUUUAUUUAAGUCACUGAGCUAUUCGAAAGUUUUCAUUUGAUGAUUAGAGUCAAAGAUUAAAGAAGAAAGUUGCUUGAAUUUUGGUUCACAAAUUCGUGAUAUUCAAAGAUGUUCAUAAAAAAAACUAAAUUUUAGAAGAAAAGGAGAAGGAAAGCUUUCGAUUGGUGUGAACAGAAAAUGUUAUAUAGCAGUGAUUUUAGCAUCUCAGUGACUUAAAUAAAAACUUUUGAAUAAUUCAAUGAUCAUUUUGUAACUUUUUGAAGUUGAAUGAUCUGAUCAAAACGUUAACUUACUAAUCAUAUAGUGACCUUAGGUAUAAUUUACUCAAAAUAUAAAGCAUAAGGAAGAGCUUCUUACCUUUUCAAGGAGGGCUGUUUUGACGACCGAAGGUAAAACAGCAUUAACCCUAAUAUUAUCUCUUGCCCAAUCACAUGACAAGUAUUUCGCAAGCUGGCUCAUGGCAGCUACAACAAAAACACAUAAUUUUAUACUCUUAUAUAUAACAACAUAUACAUAAUAUAAUGUUAAGUACAUCAAAUAUAGUCAAAUUAUCACUUAACCUAGAUUUGAAAUUGCUCCAUAAAUUUUACAAUGAUUCGAUUGAGUUUUCAAAGUAAUAGUAUUAUAUCAAUCAAGUCAUUUCAUCAGUCUAGCAUUAACUGUCAGUUUAGAUUUGAUCUUCAUUCUAAAUUAGUCUCCGAAUUUCAAAACAUUCAAUAACACGUCAAAUCUUAACGAGAGAGAGAAAACACCAAAAUUAAGUUUUUUUUUAGAAUAAAAAAUUAAGAUUUUUAAAACAUCCAUUUUAACAAUAUUUAUUUUCUUAAUUUUUUUUCAUUUCAUAUUAUGUCACAUACGAUCUAAUGUGUCAUUUAACAGUUAAAUUAAUGAUUUCAAUAACAGAAAGACCUAAUUGAUAUAAUAUUGAUAGUUUGGAGAUGCGAUUAGAAUGAUUUGAAGUUUAGGGACCAAUUUAGAAUAAAAGACAUAGUCUAAGAUGUUUGCUGCAAUUAACUCAAAUAAUAAGUUUAGAAGAAAAAAUUACCUUUGUUGGAAGCAUAUAUAGCCCCAAAGUAUGCGGGUAAUAGACUAGCAAUUGAAGACAUAAACACAACGCUUCCAGCACUUGAAGCUUUUAAAAGGGGAUAUGCCAACACACUAAUGUUAAAAGCCGAUUCGAAGUUGGUGCUCGUCAAAGACGAAACAUCUUCCGCCGUGUAAUCCGUCACCAAUUUCGUUGUAUUCGUUCCCACGUUAUUUAUCUACAAAUUUUAUCCAUCAUCAUCAUUCAAAUCCAUCGCUUGUCUAAUUCUUAAAUAGAUUUGUGGAUUUGAUCUGUUUUCGAAAAUUCGAUUUAAUUAUAAAAGAUUAACAGUCUAAAUUUAAAAUAAUUCGAAUUUAAAACUAUCCGAACCUAAAAUAAUUCUAAUGAUUUAAACUAAAGGUGAUUAUGGGCCAAGCCAGAUUCAAGCCGAGCCUAAAAUUUUACUCAAGUCUGCUCUGCCCAUAUUUAUAAAUGUAUAACUGAAGUCCAUUUUAAGCCCACCUAUAUAUUUUUUUUUAAUUUUAAGAAAUAUAUUUAUUUUAAUAUAUAAUAAUUUUAUAUUUUUUUAUUUAUUCAAAUUAUAUAUAGUUAUCUUAACAUUUGUUAAUGUUUACAUUAUAGUAGUAUUAUCUAUUAUUAUAAAAUUAAAUUUUAUGUGUUAUAAAUUAUAUAAUAUAUAAAAAUAAUAUAAUAAAAAAACAUGAUAAACUUUAAAACUCGUGGCCAGUGUCUUCUCCCUUAAUGGGCCUACUGAACGCGAAAGAUUAGUCAUUGGGCUCACUCUAAUAAAUACCUUUGAGAACUAAAAAAGAAAAUAGGACUAGACCUGGCUCGAGCCUUUAAUAUUCAAGCCUGAGCUCAACCAUAUUUUAAACGGACCUAUUUUUUUGCCCAAACCCUUUUUCAAGCCUAAUAUUUUUAUCUAAACCCUUUCAAAUUUCAUAUGAUUUUUCGAACCUAGAAGGGUAACCCAGCCAUUAACAAGUCUAAUUUAAACCUAAAAUUAUUUAUAUUAUAUUUGAGAUCAUCACUGAAAAAAAAAUUGCUCUUAUUUAUUUUGCUAAUCACUCUUUUUUUUUAGAUUUUAAAAUUUAGAAUUAAUUGUUAAUCCCGUUAAAAUUCUUUUGUUGAAUUCAUUGGUGUGAGAUUUUGAAAUAAAAAAUAUAUAUAUAUACUUAUUUCGUAGCCAUAUAACAAAAAUUUUAAUAUUGUCAUGAACCUGAAUUUAAUAGAAUAGUUUUAACGAUAUUAACAAUUGAACUUGUAUUUUUAAAUACUAAAAAAAGACGGGCUAAAUAUUUUAAAUGGAUAAAGAGUACAAAGACUUUCAACAUUUAUAGUAAUUUACCAGGAUGUUAAGCUUCCCGUUGAAUUCUGAGGAAACAGUGUUUAACAGCUUCUCCCUUUGAGUUUGAUCUGAAACAUCACACACCGAACCUGUAACCCGAAAACCCUUUGCUUUCCAUUCGAGUAAGCAAUUGUUGAGCUCGGUUUCAGUUCGAGAGCAUGUAUGCACAAUCGCUCCGAAUCCAGCUAAUUCCUCCACAAUUGCAUGCCUGAUCACCAAUUGCAAUACUUGGUUUUUCACAUUGGCAUAAAGUCAAACAUGUUUAAGACGAUAUGAAAAAC